UAAGACAGAGGUCCCGAGCGUUAGGCGGAAUCACUGGGCUUAAAGCGUGUGUAGGCGGAUGCCUAAGUACCUUGUGAAAUCCCACGGCUCACCCGUGGAACUGCUUGGUAUACUGGGUGUCUUGAGCCACUUAGGGGCUACCGGAACAAAUGGUGGAGCGGUGAAAUGCGUAGAUAUCAUUUGGAACGCCAAUGGUGAAAACAGGUAGCUGGGAGUGUGCUGACGCUGAGACACGAAAGCCAGGGGAGCAAACGGGAUUAGAUACCCCGGUAGUCCUGGCCCUAAACGAUGAAUGCUUGGUGUGGCGGGUAUCGAUCCCUGCCGUGCCGAAGCUAACGCAUUAAGCAUUCCGCCUGGGGAGUACGGUCGCAAGGCUG
This 377-nucleotide ribosomal RNA is filed under the name uncultured bacterium. RNAcentral's name for it is "bacterial SSU rRNA". It matches the Rfam family "Bacterial small subunit ribosomal RNA", at positions 521 to 896 of the family's 1533-position model. The record is from RNAcentral.